AUGCUCCUGGUGCUCCUCCCAGUGCUGGGGUUAAAAUUUCUGAGAGACUCCAGAGCACAGUCAGUGACUCAGCCUGACUCCCAAGUCACUGUCAGUGAAGAAGCCUCUUUGCAGCUGAGAUGCAACUAUUCCUCCAGGGUGGCGCCUUAUCUGCACUGGUAUGUCCAGUAUCCACAGCAAGGGCUGCAGCGUCUCCUUGGGUAUUAUUCUGGAGACACCCUGGUUCGUGGCUUGAGCGGCUUUGAGGCUGAGUUUAUCAAGCAGGACUCUUCCUUCCACCUGAAGAAAGCCUCUGUGCACCUGAGUGAUUCGGCUCUGUACUUCUGUGCUCUAGGUGCACAGUGUCUGGGGCUGCAGGGGGAGCUGAACAUAAACACCCAUGGCAGUGGAGUGCUCAGACUCAAGGUCUCUCCUUGGGUCUUUGAAGGAUCUCUUUCAACUUAG
Peromyscus eremicus (cactus mouse) is the source of this 444-nucleotide non-coding RNA. Lineage: Eukaryota; Metazoa; Chordata; Mammalia; Rodentia; Cricetidae. The record is from the annotation of a RefSeq genome assembly.